UGACCUAAGUCGAGGCCGGUAGGCGUAGACGAUGGACAGCAGGUUUAAUAUUCCUGCACCGGCUGUGGUUAAGCCAAAGAGUGACGCGGAGGUGGAGAGCAGCUGCCGAUUGAAAGUGGCAGUGUCGCAAGACGACGUGGAGGCUACGGCCAAAGCGGAUUGUUUGAAAUCGACGCCAAGAAAACCUCUCUGGUGUUCCCACGGUUGCCCGUACCGUAAACCGACACAGGUGGGUGGGUAGAGUAUACCCAGGCGCGUGAGUGAAACCUCGUUAAGGAACUCGGCAAUCUAGCCCCGUAACUUCGGAAGAAGGGGUGCCGUCGCAAGACGGUCGCAGUGAAAUGGGUCAACCGACUGUUUAACAAAAACACAGCACUCUGCUAAGUCGCAAGACGACGUAUAGGGUGUGACACGUGACCAAUGCGGAAAGAUUACGGUAAGGGGUUAGCCGCAAGGCGAAGCUCUGAGCCCAAGUCCCCGUGAAUGUCGGCCGUAACUAUAACGGUCCUAAGGUAGCGAAAUUCCUUGUCGGGUAAGUUCCGACCUGCACGAAUCGUGUAACGAGUUGACCGCUGUCUCAACGAGGAGCUCAGCGAAGUUGUAAUGGCGGUGAAGAUGCCGCCUACCCGCAGCAGGACGGAAAGACCCUAUGCACCUUUACUGUACGCUGUUACUGUGUUUUCGGUUUUAUUGCUUAGCGUAAGUGGGAGACUGUGAACUGGACCUUUCGGGGUUCAAGGAGUCGCCAAUGAAACACCACCCUAUCAAAUUGGAAACACUAACCUCUAGCCAUUAUCUGGCAGAGGGACACUGGCAGCCGGUCAGUUUUACUGGGGCGGUAUCCUCCCAAAGAGUAACGGAGGAGUACGAAGGUUGGCUCAGCCCGGUUGGUAAUCGGGUGACGAGUAUAUGGAUAUAAGCCAGCCUAACUGUGAGACCUACAAGUCGAGCAGGUGCGAAAGCAGGUCCAAGUGAUCCGGUGGUUGAAUGUGGAAUUGCCAUCGCUCAACGGACAAAAGGUACGCUAGGGAUAACAGGCUGAUCGAGUCCAAGAGCUCAUAUCGACGACUCGGUUUGGCACCUCGAUGUCGGCUCAUCACAUCCUGGGGCUGGAGAAGGUCCCAAGGGUCCGGCUGUUCGCCGGUUAAAGUGGUACGCGAGCUGGGUUCAGAACGUCGCGAGACAGUUCGGUCCUUAUCCGCUGUGGGCGCAGGAGAAUUGAGGGGUUCAGACCUUAGUACGAGAGGACCGGGUCUGACGAACCACUGGUGUUCCAGUUGUCGUGUCAACGGCAUUGCUGGGUAGCUACGUUCGGAAAGGAUAAGCGCUGAAAGCAUCUAAGCGCCAAGCCUCUCCCAAGAUGAAUUCUCCCUGAAGGGUCGUGGUAGACCACCACGUUGAUAGGCUUCCGGUAGAAGCACAGUAAUGUGUUGAGCUGAGAAGUACUAAUAUCCCGUUCGGCUUGGUCGU
This 1470-nucleotide ribosomal RNA is filed under the name metagenome. Its description in RNAcentral is "bacterial LSU rRNA". It matches the Rfam family "Bacterial large subunit ribosomal RNA", at positions 1387 to 2925 of the family's 2925-position model. The record is from RNAcentral.